Molecule: ribosomal RNA, 430 nt
Filed under: bacterium
Lineage: Bacteria
Description: partial 16S ribosomal RNA
Rfam family: Bacterial small subunit ribosomal RNA
Source: RNAcentral
UGGGGAAUAUUGGACAAUGGGCGCAAGCCUGAUCCAGCCAUGCCGCGUGUGUGAAGAAGGCCUUUUGGUUGUAAAGCACUUUAAGCGAGGAGGAGGCUACUUGGAUUAAUACUCUAGGAUAGUGGACGUUACUCGCAGAAUAAGCACCGGCUAACUCUGUGCCAGCAGCCGCGGUAAUACAGAGGGUGCGAGCGUUAAUCGGAUUUACUGGGCGUAAAGCGUGCGUAGGCGGCUUUUUAAGUCGGAUGUGAAAUCCCUGAGCUUAACUUAGGAAUUGCAUUCGAUACUGGGAAGCUAGAGUAUGGGAGAGGAUGGUAGAAUUCCAGGUGUAGCGGUGAAAUGCGUAGAGAUCUGGAGGAAUACCGAUGGCGAAGGCAGCCAUCUGGCAUAAUACUGACGCUGAGGUACGAAAGCAUGGGGAGCAAACAGG